RNAcentral lists this ribosomal RNA (468 nucleotides) under uncultured bacterium. RNAcentral's name for it is "partial 16S ribosomal RNA". It matches the Rfam family "Bacterial small subunit ribosomal RNA", at positions 28 to 507 of the family's 1533-position model. The record is from RNAcentral.
GACGAACGCUGGCGGCGUGCUUAACACAUGCAGGUCGAACGGAAAGGCCCUGCUUUUGUGGGGUGCUCGAGUGGCGAACGGGUGAGUAACACGUGAGUAACCUGCCCUUGACUUUGGGAUAACUUCAGGAAACUGGGGCUAAUACCGGAUAGGAGCUCCUGCUGCAUGGUGGGGGUUGGAAAGUUUCGGCGGUUGGGGAUGGACUCGCGGCUUAUCAGCUUGUUGGUGGGGUAGUGGCUUACCAAGGCUUUGACGGGUAGCCGGCCUGAGAGGGUGACCGGCCACAUUGGGACUGAGAUACGGCCCAGACUCCUACGGGAGGCAGCAGUGGGGAAUAUUGCAAAAUGGGCGGAAGCCUGAUGCAGCAACGCCGCGUGCGGGAUGACGGCCUUCGGGUUGUAAACCGCUUUCGCCUGUGACGAAGCGUGAGUGACGGUAAUGGGUAAAGAAGCACCGGCUAACUACGUG